GAAAAGUGGCGGCGGACUACCAUGCAGUCGAGCGGUAACAUAUAGUAGCUUGCUACUUUGCUGACGAGCGGCGGACGGGUGAGUAAUGCUUGGGAACAUGCCUUGAGGUGGGGGACAACAGUUGGAAACGACUGCUAAUACCGCAUAGUGUCUACGGACCAAGGGGGGCUUCGGCUCUCGCCUUUAUAUUGGCCCAAGUGGGAUUAGCUAGUUGGUGAGGUAAUGGCUCACCAAGGCAACGAUCCCUAUCUGGUUUGAGAGGAUGAUCACCCACACUGGGACUGAGACACGGCCCACACUCCUACGGGAGGCAGCAGUGGGGAAUAUUGCACAAUGGGCGCAAGCCUGAUGCACCCAUGCCGCGUGUGUGAAAAAGGCCUUCGGGUUGUAAAGCACUUUCAGUCAAGAGGAAAGGUUAAUAGUUAAUACCUGCUAUCUGUGACGUUACUGACAGAAGAAGCACCGGCUAACUCCGUGCCAGCAGCCGCGGUAAUACGGAGGGUGCGAGCGUUAAUCGGAAUUACUGGGCGUAAAGCGUACGCAGGCGGUUUGUUAAGCGAGAUGUGAAAGCCCCGGGCUCAACCUGGGAACUGCAUUUCAAACUGGCAAACUAGAGUGUGAUAGAGGGUGGUAGAAUUUCAUGUGUAGCGGUGAAAUGCGUAGAGAUCUGAAAGAAUACCGAUGGCGAACGCAGCCACCUGGGUCAACACUGACGCUCAUGUACGAAAGCGUGGGGAGCAAACAGGAUUAGAUACCCUGGUACACA
This 766-nucleotide ribosomal RNA is filed under the name Pseudoalteromonas sp. RNAcentral's name for it is "bacterial SSU rRNA". It matches the Rfam family "Bacterial small subunit ribosomal RNA", at positions 31 to 797 of the family's 1533-position model. The record is from RNAcentral. Lineage: Bacteria; Pseudomonadati; Pseudomonadota; Gammaproteobacteria; Alteromonadales; Pseudoalteromonadaceae.